CUAAUACAUGCAAGUCGAGCGGACCGACGGGAGCUUGCUCCCUUAGGUCAGCGGCGGACGGGUGAGUAACACGUGGGUAACCUGCCUGUAAGACUGGGAUAACUCCGGGAAACCGGGGCUAAUACCGGAUGCUUGAUUGAACCGCAUGGUUCAAUCAUAAAAGGUGGCUUUUAGCUACCACUUACAGAUGGACCCGCGGCGCAUUAGCUAGUUGGUGAGGUAACGGCUCACCAAGGCGACGAUGCGUAGCCGACCUGAGAGGGUGAUCGGCCACACUGGGACUGAGACACGGCCCAGACUCCUACGGGAGGCAGCAGUAGGGAAUCUUCCGCAAUGGACGAAAGUCUGACGGAGCAACGCCGCGUGAGUGAUGAAGGUUUUCGGAUCGUAAAACUCUGUUGUUAGGGAAGAACAAGUACCGUUCGAAUAGGGCGGUACCUUGACGGUACCUAACCAGAAAGCCACGGCUAACUACGUGCCAGCAGCCGGGGGUUAAUAC
Molecule: ribosomal RNA, 499 nt
Filed under: Bacillus licheniformis
Lineage: Bacteria; Bacillati; Bacillota; Bacilli; Caryophanales; Bacillaceae
Description: bacterial SSU rRNA
Rfam family: Bacterial small subunit ribosomal RNA
Source: RNAcentral